GAUCUUCUCUCCGUCCCCACUCAACGCCGCCGCGUCAGGCUCUGGCGCUCUGCUGCCUGCAGACCUGACCUGACCGGAGCGGACCGCCGGCCGUCCGCCAGCUCCGGCGAUUAAUUCUCGCGCAGAGACCGCCGCUUCCGUGGUCGCCGUCGUCAAUCUGCGGUGGGUUACUGGAGUCAGGUGCUCCUUCCCAUGGGAUUCUUCUGGGUGCGCCUCAUUGAAGCAUCUAUAGCAGUAUGCUUUGCCUAUCACCUUAAUGAUAGGAGCAUACGUUGGUGAUGCUGAAAGAGAAGGUGGUGGUAAGCUUCUGGCUGCCUCACCGAGCAUUGCCAUGGCAACCAGCACGGCUAAGACCAGCCAUAGCUGGCGCUUUGGCUGGCUUCCAACGCUUACUUCCAUGCCUGGACAGUGCUUUCUGAAGUGAGAAGAGGAGAUGGGAGAAUGUGAAUGAUUUUGGCUUUGGUAUGGAUGAGUAUUUAUAAUGUUCAAGGUGGCACUUGGCAGGGUCUCUGGGGAAGCAGGUGGAGCUGGUAAGGUGGUAUGGCCAUUUGAAUGAUUAGAGACUGUACUUCCCUCAAAAAAGAAAAAAAAGAGCAUGUACACUUUGUCACCACUUGAUUUCAGAGAGAAGAUGUAAUUAGUUGUGAUUUAUGAUAACCUUUUGUAGUUGGAGUAUAUGAAUCUGCUUGUAUGUUAUUUCAGAGAAUAAGUAUUGUAGGUUUUGAAGUAAUCGCAGAGCAACAAUUAUGUUAGCCAUGAAAACAAAAUCAUCAACGUGAUGCACAUAUUUACUUA
Molecule: long non-coding RNA, 795 nt
Organism: Hordeum vulgare subsp. vulgare (domesticated barley)
Lineage: Eukaryota; Viridiplantae; Streptophyta; Magnoliopsida; Poales; Poaceae
Exons: 2
Source: RefSeq, a predicted model, not a curated record